RNAcentral lists this ribosomal RNA (899 nucleotides) under Plantibacter flavus. Its description in RNAcentral is "bacterial SSU rRNA". It matches the Rfam family "Bacterial small subunit ribosomal RNA", at positions 60 to 1006 of the family's 1533-position model. The record is from RNAcentral. Lineage: Bacteria; Bacillati; Actinomycetota; Actinomycetes; Micrococcales; Microbacteriaceae.
AGUCGACGAUGAGCCCAGCUUGCUGGGUGGAUUAGUGGCGAACGGGUGAGUAACACGUGAGUAACCUGCCCUUGACUCUGGGAUAAGCGUUGGAAACGACGUCUAAUACCGGAUACGAGCUUCCACCGCAUGGUGAGUUGCUGGAAAGAAUUUUGGUCAAGGAUGGACUCGCGGCCUAUCAGCUUGUUGGUGAGGUAAUGGCUCACCAAGGCGACGACGGGUAGCCGGCCUGAGAGGGUGACCGGCCACACUGGGACUGAGACNNANANNNACUCCUACGGGAGGCAGCAGUGGGNAUAUUGCACAUGGGCGAAGCUGAUGNGCACGCCGCGNGAGCUUUUAGCAGGGAAGAAGCGAAAGUGACGGUACCUGCAGAAAAAAGCACCGGCUAACUACGUGCCAGCAGCCGCGGUAAUACGUAGGGUGCAAGCGUUGUCCGGAAUUAUUGGGCGUAAAGAGCUCGUAGGCGGUUUGNNGCGUCUGCUGUGAAAUCCCGAGGCUCAACCUCGGGUCUGCAGUGGGUACGGGCAGACUAGAGUGCGGGGGAGAUUGGAAUUCCUGGUGUAGCGGUGGAAUGCGCAGAUAUCAGGAGGAACACCGAUGGCGAAGGCAGAUCUNUGGUUCCGCUACUGACGCUGAGGAGCGAAAGGGUGGGGAGCAAACAGGCUUAGAUACCCUGGUAGUCCACCCCGUAAACGUUGGGCGCUAGAUGUGGGGAGCAUUCCACGGUUUCCNUGUCGUAGCUAACGCAUUAAGCGCCCCGCCUGGGGAGUACGGCCGCAAGGCUAAAACUCAAAGGAAUUGACGGGGGCCCGCACAAGCGCCGGAGCAUGCGGAUUAAUUCGAUGCAACGCGAAGAACCUNACCAAGGCUUGACAUAUACGAGANCGGGCCAGAAA